This 251-nucleotide ribosomal RNA is filed under the name Staphylococcus succinus. Its description in RNAcentral is "partial 16S ribosomal RNA". It matches the Rfam family "Bacterial small subunit ribosomal RNA", at positions 315 to 558 of the family's 1533-position model. The record is from RNAcentral. Lineage: Bacteria; Bacillati; Bacillota; Bacilli; Caryophanales; Staphylococcaceae.
GGAACUGAGACACGGUCCAGACUCCUACGGGAGGCAGCAGUAGGGAAUCUUCCGCAAUGGGCGAAAGCCUGACGGAGCAACGCCGCGUGAGUGAUGAAGGUUUUCGGAUCGUAAAACUCUGUUAUUAGGGAAGAACAAAUGCGUAAGUAACUGUGCGCAUCUUGACGGUACCUAAUCAGAAAGCCACGGCUAACUACGUGCCAGCAGCCGCGGUAAUACCUAGGUGGCAAGCGUUAUCCGGAAUUAUUGGG